RNAcentral lists this unclassified non-coding RNA (345 nucleotides) under soil metagenome. Its description in RNAcentral is "partial contains 5.8S ribosomal RNA, internal transcribed spacer 2, and large subunit ribosomal RNA". The stretch from base 1 to 119 matches the Rfam family "5.8S ribosomal RNA", at positions 35 to 154 of the family's 154-position model. The record is from RNAcentral.
GAUGAAGAACGUAGCGAAAUGCGAUCCGUAAUGUGAAUUGCAAAUUCAGUGAAUCAUCGAGUCUUUGAACGCACAUUGCGCCCCCUGGUAUUCCGGGGGGCAUGCCUGUCCGAGCGUCAUUGCUGCCCUCAAGCACGGCUUGUGUGUUGGGCCCCGUCCUCCGAUCCCGGGGGACGGGCCCGAAAGGCAGCGGCGGCACCGCGUCCGGUCCUCGAGCGUAUGGGGCUUUGUCACCCGCUCUGUAGGCCCGGCCGGCGCUUGCCGAUCAACCCAAAUUUUUAUCCAGGUUGACCUCGGAUCAGGUAGGGAUACCCGCUGAACUUAAGCAUAUCAAUAAGCGGAGGA